RNAcentral lists this ribosomal RNA (444 nucleotides) under uncultured bacterium. Its description in RNAcentral is "bacterial SSU rRNA". It matches the Rfam family "Bacterial small subunit ribosomal RNA", at positions 354 to 796 of the family's 1533-position model. The record is from RNAcentral.
GUAGGGAAUAUUGGACAAUGGGUGCGAGCCUGAUCCAGCCAUGCCGCGUGCAGGAAGACGGCCUUCUGGGUUGUAAACUGCUUUUGCCAGGGGAUAAAACGUCCAUGCGUGGAUAAUUGAAGGUACCUGGUGAAUAAGCCACGGCUAACUACGUGCCAGCAGCCGCGGUAAUACGUAGGUGGCAAGCGUUGUCCGGAUUUAUUGGGUUUAAAGGGUGCGUAGGUGGUUCCAUAAGUCAGUGGUGAAAUACGGCAGCUUAACUGUCGAGGUGCCAUUGAUACUGCGGAACUUGAGUACAGACGAGGUAGGCGGAAUUGACGGUGUAGCGGUGAAAUGCUUAGAUAUCGUCAAGAACACCGAUAGCGAAGGCAGCUUACUAGACUGUAACUGACACUGAGGCACGAAAGUGUGGGGAUCAAACAGGAUUAGAAACCCCAGUAGUCC